RNAcentral lists this ribosomal RNA (253 nucleotides) under uncultured bacterium. Its description in RNAcentral is "partial 16S ribosomal RNA". It matches the Rfam family "Bacterial small subunit ribosomal RNA", at positions 524 to 776 of the family's 1533-position model. The record is from RNAcentral.
UACGAAGGGAGCUAGCGUUGUUCGGAAUCACUGGGCGUAAAGCGCACGUAGGCGGAUUUGUCAGUCAGGGGUGAAAUCCCGGGGCUCAACCUCGGAACUGCCUCUGAUACAGCAAGUCUUGAGUUCGAGAGAGGUGGGUGGAAUUCCUAGUGCAGAGGUGAAAUUCGUAGAUAUUAGGAAGAACACCGGUGGCGAAGGCGGCCCACUGGCUCGAUACUGACGCUGAGGUGCGAAAGCGUGGGGAGCAAACAGG